CGUUGCGGGAGGAGGUUCAGUGUGCGCGUGUGUGGGCGCAUGGGAGUCAUUGUAGUGCAAGGGCAGCAUCUACGUGUAAUUAUUAAAGGAAUUACUGCAGUCCGUCAUAGCAGCCAGUGCUAAGGAGGCGCUGCCUCCAUGUUAGUGGUGGUUGGAGUAGCAGGUAGAGCGUCGGUCUCACAGGCUGUGGGUGAAGUUAUAGAGCCAAUCGGAAAAACACAUGGACGAGGAUGAAGAGAUGGAAGAGAAAAUACAUGGCAGAGAGAGAAGGAACCAAGGCGGAUGAAGAAAAACGAGGAAGACGUAAUUUCCAAUGGGGAACUCUGGGGAAGGAAUUAACAGCUCUCACCCUAUAAAAUACUGAUGGAAAUAAAACGAGGACAAGAUAGCGGAAGAAAACGCAUUAGAUAGAACUCUCAGAAAUCAAAAGGAGGAGAAUACCUUUUUUUCUGGUGUAAUUGAUAUGUUUAUUGUUUAUUUUUCCUUACACUGAUUCAAUCCUCACGCUCUUCACAUUAUGCCAACAUACCACAACUUAGACGUUUUUUUUCUGCGGUUCCAUUAUUUAGCGUUUAUAUUUCUAGCUGGGAUUAAUCACCAAGGAUAAUCUGUAGGGAUUGAUAUUGUUCUGGUACUGUACAUGUAUAUAGUCCAUUUUUAAUUAUCUCAUCCCCAUCAGC
Molecule: long non-coding RNA, 680 nt
Organism: Portunus trituberculatus (swimming crab)
Lineage: Eukaryota; Metazoa; Arthropoda; Malacostraca; Decapoda; Portunidae
Exons: 4
Source: RefSeq, a predicted model, not a curated record